This 954-nucleotide long non-coding RNA is filed under the name Lupinus angustifolius (narrow-leaved blue lupine). RNAcentral's name for it is "long non-coding RNA (LANG_LNC000174)". The record is from RNAcentral. Lineage: Eukaryota; Viridiplantae; Streptophyta; Magnoliopsida; Fabales; Fabaceae.
CAGAUGAUCCUCAUGCACUCAAAGGUGUAUCAGACAUAUUUCCAUCAUCAUUUGCCUGAAAUAAUAAAUUAAAAACAUUUAGUUGAAACAAUACAAAAAGCAUUGAUAAUUACUGCAUUAUUAUAUACACUAAUUAAGCAUGUACAAUUAACAACAACAUGUAGACAAAAUAACAUUGAGAUUUUAUAACUAGAUAAUAUAAUCCAGACUAGUAUAGACAAUUAAUUUUCAAAGUAUUUGAGGUGUGCUUAGGCAAGCACUAUUACACCCACAUAUACCUUAUCAGUCCCAAUAAUAUGCCAAACAAUAAUAUUCCCAAACAACAAUAAGACUUGAAGACAGAGAGAAACUGAAAAAAUCAUGUAAAUGGGAAACAGUUCCUAUAAUGCUUCAAAGCUAUUCUAAAACUAAAGAAAAUUUGGGGAUUAUCAUCAAAUAAAGAACCUAGCUAAGUAAAAAAUAAAAAAUCAAAGGCUAGAAUUACAAAAAUGACAAAAACAUCUAAUAAAUAGUUAAGUAAUAAUAUAAAGUAAGUUAUACUGAGCAUACCCAAGCUCACGAGCAAAAUGUAAUACAAAGGCACCAAGGCAAAGGUCUACAUGGAGACAAAUAACAAAAUAUGAGUACAUCCCUAUUUAGUUUGUUUAUUAUUAUUAUUAUUAUAUUAAGCAAAACAGAAGCAGGAUACAUAGAUUCAUAAUGUAACAACAAUAUCACAUACUCACCAAACAACAAACUAUCUAGAAAUUUGAAGGUCCUCCUCUAUUCUCUGACCACCAAUUCCUCUCAACAAAAUAGCCUAUGCACAAAAAUGGAGCAAAGGAACUCAUUUAAGAAAUUGGUAAUCAAUAUAUCAUUUCACCUAAAGAUAAAGUUGCUCACCUGUGCAUCUUUAUCAAGUGUUUUGCUAAUAUCAACCUCAGUUAGCCAAAUGGGAAGCUCCAGUGUUGCAAA